AGGUGUCAUUCUAGAUUUUAUUUAAAAGAAGAAGAUUAUAUAAUUAUGGGAUAUUAUUUUUCUUGAAUACGUCAUUUAUUUAAUAUAGGAAUUUAACGCGUGUAACUACUUUCAAUGUGGAUGCAAUGAUGGAAAAAAUUAAGCAUCAUACGAAAUUAAUAUAUUUGUCUUUAGAUGUUUAUAUUUCAUAUAUAAAAGAACGAACGAAACAAUAAUUACAUGGCAUCCUCGCACUACAGGGGUUACAAGAAACGAUUAUUGGGAAGGGAAAAAAAAUAUAAUUCUAACAUUCUGUCAAGUAAAUGCUCUCAGUACUUAAACCGAUGCAUUUCCUCUGGUAGCUCAAGAUGAACAUCAUUGUGGAAGAAAUUACUGCUAAUGCAAAGGUCUAAAAUAUUUAGUGAAGAAAGCAAAAUCGCAGAAAACUCCCUUGGAAUAAAGGUUAAGUUUGCAUUUCGUCUAUUGUUUUUUUUUGCAAAAUGUCUCGUAAUAUGUCUAAUAGAAUGUUUCCUUAUCCAUGUGCAAUGUGUCCCAGAUUGCAACCAAAAGGAAACCAUUCUAAACCCCAUUUGAAUAUCAUUUUCAGGUCAACUAGAGAGAGAGAGAGAGAGA
RNAcentral lists this unclassified non-coding RNA (612 nucleotides) under Hevea brasiliensis (rubber tree). Lineage: Eukaryota; Viridiplantae; Streptophyta; Magnoliopsida; Malpighiales; Euphorbiaceae. The record is from RNAcentral.